RNAcentral lists this ribosomal RNA (1232 nucleotides) under metagenome. Its description in RNAcentral is "bacterial SSU rRNA". It matches the Rfam family "Bacterial small subunit ribosomal RNA", at positions 242 to 1499 of the family's 1533-position model. The record is from RNAcentral.
UAGCUAGUUGGUGAGGUAAUGGCCCACCAAGGCGACGAUCGGUAGCCGGACUGAGAGGUUGAACGGCCACAUUGGGACUGAGACACGGCCCAGACUCCUACGGGAGGCAGCAGUGGGGAAUAUUGCACAAUGAGGGAAACCCUGAUGCAGCGACGCCGCGUGGAGGAAGAAGGUCUUCGGAUUGUAAACUCCUGUUGUUGAGGAAGAUAAUGACGGUACUCAACAAGGAAGUGACGGCUAACUACGUGCCAGCAGCCGCGGUAAAACGUAGGUCACAAGCGUUGUCCGGAAUUACUGGGUGUAAAGGGAGCGCAGGCGGGAAGACAAGUUGGAAGUGAAAUCCAUGGGCUCAACCCAUGAACUGCUUUCAAAACUGUUUUUCUUGAGUAGUGCAGAGGUAGGUGGAAUUCCCGGUGUAGCGGUGGAAUGCGUAGAUAUCGGGAGGAACACCAGUGGCGAAGGCGGCCUACUGGGCACCAACUGACGCUGAGGCUCGAAAGUGCGGGUAGCAAACAGGAUUAGAUACCCUGGUAGUCCACACUGUAAACGAUGAUUACUAGGUGUUGGAGGAUUGACCCCUUUAGUGCCGCAGUUAACACAAUAAGUAAUCCACCUGGGGAGUACGACCGCAAGGUUGAAACUCAAAGGAAUUGACGGGGGCCCGCACAAGCAGUGGAGUAUGUGGUUUGAUUCGACGCAACGCGAAGAACCUUACCAAGUCUUGACAUCCUGCGACGCACAUAGAAAUAUGUGUUUCCUUCGGGACGCAGAGACAGGUGGUGCAUGGUUGUCGUCAGCUCGUGUCGUGAGAUGUUGGGUUAAGUCCCGCAACGAGCGCAACCCUUAUGGUCAGUUACUACGCAAGAGGACUCUGGCCAGACUGCCGUUGACAAAACGGAGGAAGGUGGGGAUGACGUCAAAUCAUCAUGCCCUUUAUGACUUGGGCUACACACGUACUACAAUGGCGUUAAACAAAGAGAAGCAAGACCGCGAGGUGGAGCAAAACUCAGAAACAACGUCCCAGUUCGGGCUGCAGGCUGCAACUCGCCUGCACGAAGUCGGAAUUGCUAGUAAUCGCAGAUCAGCAUGCUGCGGUGAAUACGUUCCCGGGCCUUGUACACACCGCCCGUCACACCAUGAGAGCCGGGGGGACCCGAAGUCGGUAGUCUAACCGCAAGGAGGACGCCGCCGAAGGUAAAACUGGUGAUUGGGGUGAAGUCGUAACAAGGUAG